This 406-nucleotide ribosomal RNA is filed under the name uncultured bacterium. RNAcentral's name for it is "partial 16S ribosomal RNA". It matches the Rfam family "Bacterial small subunit ribosomal RNA", at positions 30 to 526 of the family's 1533-position model. The record is from RNAcentral.
AUUGAACGCUGGCGGCAGGCCUAACACAUGCAAGUCGAACGAGUGGCGGACGGGUGAGUAAUGUCUGGGAAACUGCCCGAUGGAGGGGGAUAACUACUGGAAACGGUCGCUAAUACCGCAUACCAUCGGAUGUGCCCAGAUGGGCUUAGCUGGUUGGUGGGGUAACGGCUCACCUAGGCGACGAUCCCUAGCUGGUCUGAGAGGAUGACCAGCCACACUGGAACUGAGACACGGGCCAGACUCCUACGGGAGGCAGCAGUGGGGAAUAUUGCACAAUGGGCGCAAGCCUGAUGCAGCCAUGCCGCGUGUAUGAAGAAGGCCUUCGGGUUGUAAAGUACUUUCAGCGGGGAGGCGGUACCCGCAGAAGAAGCACCGGCUAACUCCGUGCCAGCAGCCGCGGUAAUAC